CCUGGUUACUCCACUGAACAACUCAGGAUUCCACCGCAGUUCUUGAAGCAUCUUAGAAAGGACUUAUCUAGCAAGGCCAAUUUGAGCUUGAACAUGUCUUCACAGUGUUCAUGGAAUGUAAAAGUGACCAAAACAAAGAACGAUGUGUAUUUCAAGGAUGGGUGGCAGGAGUUUCUAAACAAUAACUCAGUGGAUGAAGGUGACUUCCUUGUGUUCACCUAAGAAGGGAAAAUGCAUUUCAGCAUAGCAUUUUUUGACUGGAGUUGUUGUGAGAGAGUCGAUUUUACUAAUGGGACAUGCAAAGAAUCCACACUUGCUAAGAGUACUAAAAGGCCUUGUCAUAAACCAAGAAAACAUAACUCAGCUGCAGAUAACACAGCUAAGGAAUCUGCGAUAUCUUUCAAAUCCAAGUAUCCUCAUUACAAAAAAGCUAUUAAUAAGACUUAUUGUGUU
Fragaria vesca subsp. vesca is the source of this 453-nucleotide RNA transcript. RefSeq lists it as uncharacterized. The transcript is spliced from 3 exons. The record is from RefSeq and is a predicted model, not a curated record. Lineage: Eukaryota; Viridiplantae; Streptophyta; Magnoliopsida; Rosales; Rosaceae.